AACGUACCCUGGAGUGGGGGAUAACGUAGCGAAAGUUACGCUAAUACCGCAUACGAUCUAAGGAUGAAAGCAGGGGACCGCAAGGCCUUGUGCUCCUGGAGCGGCCGAUAUCUGAUUAGCUAGUUGGUGGGGUAAAGGCCUACCAAGGCAUCGAUCAGUAGCUGGUCUGAGAGGACGACCAGCCACACUGGAACUGAGACACGGUCCAGACUCCUACGGGAGGCAGCAGUGGGGAAUUUUGGACAAUGGGCGCAAGCCUGAUCCAGCAAUGCCGCGUGAGUGAAGAAGGCCUUCGGGUUGUAAAGCUCUUUUGUCAGGGAAGAAACGGUGGAGGCUAAUAUCCUUUGCUAAUGACGGUACCUGAAGAAUAAGCACCGGCUAACUACGUGCCAGCAGCCGCGGUAAUACGUAGGGUGCAAGCGUUAAUCGGAAUUACUGGGCGUAAAGCGUGCGCAGGCGGUUUUGUAAGUCUGUCGUGAAAUCCCCGGGCUCAACCUGGGAAUUGCGAUGGAGACUGCAAGGCUAGAAUCUGGCAGAGGGGGGUAGAAUUCCACGUGUAGCAGUGAAAUGCGUAGAGAUGUGGAGGAACACCGAUGGCGAAGGCAGCCCCCUGGGUCAAGAUUGACGCUCAUGCACG
Molecule: ribosomal RNA, 637 nt
Filed under: Burkholderiales bacterium 93-03PB
Lineage: Bacteria; Pseudomonadati; Pseudomonadota; Betaproteobacteria; Burkholderiales
Description: bacterial SSU rRNA
Rfam family: Bacterial small subunit ribosomal RNA
Source: RNAcentral